This is a long non-coding RNA of Rhodamnia argentea, 732 nucleotides long. RefSeq lists it as uncharacterized. NCBI's taxonomy places the organism in Eukaryota, Viridiplantae, Streptophyta, Magnoliopsida, Myrtales, Myrtaceae. The transcript is spliced from 4 exons. The record is from RefSeq and is a predicted model, not a curated record.
CUCUCUCGCAGAGCUCACAACACGAGGAAGAUUAGUGGAUCGCGAGUGCCUUCUCUCUUGAUUCUUGCUCCUCCCAAACCCUGAAAGGGUUUCUCUGCAACGAAGCCGUACAUGGUAGAACGGCUCUUCCGAAGCGGCCGUCGGUGAAUAAUCCGAGCUUUAAGGUUGUCGUUGUUGGCAAUGGCGGUACUGCUACUAUUGGCGUGGAAGUUGGCCCUCUGACCUUCUUCACAAACUGUGGGAAGAUCAGGUUUAACUGCUUGGACACUGCUGGUCAAGAAAAGUUUGGUGGCCUCUGAGAUGGUUACUAGUACGCACUUUUUCCUUUCCGUGUUGAAUUUUAAGAUAUGUUCUGUGUUGUUCCAUGUAUAUAAUGUGGUUUCUUUGUGUUUUUCUGCUUGGUAAUAAUCCCAUUUGGACACUUUUUGUGCUAGAUGUGGUGGAAGCAAUUGUCUCUAAUAUAAUAAAAUGAAUCAGUUCAAAUGAUUUACACCACUUUGUUGAAAUGGACACUUGCAAACUCCCUUUUUACAUCCAUGACUAUUACUGGUUUCAUCAGGUGCUCUUUCUGGAUCAUCAUAAAGCUGGUUCUAUGGAAAAGGAACAAAGAAAAGUUGGUCACUUCACUGGCAAUAUCACUAGAUUGCUUUAUACCCUUGAAGAUUUCUUGUCUGGCAUAUUUUUGGCAUUUUUUCUGCUUCCAGUUCAUCUAGUUAAUCAUGGGAUUCAUUU